GCUCAGUGCAGUGCCGAGUGCCUGCAGUCCCAGCUACUUGGCAGGCUGAAGUGGAAGGAUCGCUUGAGCCCAGAAAUUCUGGGCUGUAGUGCACUAUGUCGAUGGAGUGUCCGCACUAAGUUCGGCAUCAGUAUGGUGACCUCCCGGGAGUGUGGGACCACCAGGUCGCCUAAGGAGGGGUGAACCGACCCAGGUCGGAAACAAAGCAGGUCAAAACUCCCGUGUUGAUCGGUAGUGGGAUCGCGCCUGUGAACAACCACUGCAUUCCAGCCUGGGCAACAUAGUGAGACCCCAUCUCU
RNAcentral lists this signal recognition particle RNA (299 nucleotides) under Aotus nancymaae (Ma's night monkey). Its description in RNAcentral is "Metazoan signal recognition particle RNA (ENSANAG00000004255.1)". It matches the Rfam family "Metazoan signal recognition particle RNA". Rfam says of the family: The signal recognition particle (SRP) is a universally conserved ribonucleoprotein. It is involved in the co-translational targeting of proteins to membranes. Lineage: Eukaryota; Metazoa; Chordata; Mammalia; Primates; Aotidae. The record is from RNAcentral.